Molecule: long non-coding RNA, 1309 nt
Filed under: Equus caballus (horse)
Lineage: Eukaryota; Metazoa; Chordata; Mammalia; Perissodactyla; Equidae
Description: lncRNA (ENSECAG00000058643.1)
Source: RNAcentral
AGGUGAAUAAAAUCUUGUUUUAAGGCUGAACAAGCAGGUUAACCUUAUCAAGGAUGAUCUUGAAUUCCAGUGGCCACAGUGGAGAACUUUUAACCUAGACAAGCUUAUCCAUUUACAGGUGCCCUAGAGAAAAAGGGAUCUCACUAUAAAGGGUAGAGGGAAAUUAUUUUUCCUUAUUGACAACUUCUUGUGACCAGUAUGAGACCCACUAAGACACCCUGUUUGCUCCAGAGCGUGCAGAUGGGAUCCUGGGAAAACUGGCAGAAGCUGGCAAAAGGGUCAGCUAUUGCCUUCUUGUUUGCCUUGCUUUGUGUCCUGAGAACUUGGCUUGGGUUUCUGCCUGAUUGAGGCAUGCAGGUUCUUGCGUGUGCAGGCAGCUCAAAUGUCAGGUUGGGGGUCCCAAAAAUACAGCCGGACAGAAAUGUGGAGGUGGAGGCCAAGAGAGGAAUCAAGGAGAAGAAUUAGAAGGCCUCCAGCAGAAUCUAAACCAAAAAAAAACGGAGAAGUUUGGACACAGACACCUUCCCCGGGAGACUUCCAUGUGAAGACUGAAGUGAUGCUGGUAUAAGCCAAGGAACUGCCAGAAACUACGAGAGAGGCCUGGAACAGGUCUUUCCCUGGCACCUUCAAAGGGAGCAUGACUCUGGUGACACCUUGAUCCAAAACUUCUAGCCUCCAGAGCUGUGAGACAGUGCAUUUCUGUUGUUUAAGCAACUCAGUUUGUGGUUCUUGUUACAGCAGGCUUAGAAAACUAAUAUACUACUCUAUUUUUAAAUUUGCUUUCAAGUAAAUUUUAAUAUUCAAAGGGUGGAGGAUGACUGUGGGAGUGCAAGGAGUUGAGAGGACAUCCUCACAUAUAAGACUGUUACUCCGUUCUACAUGAAAAAGGACUCCGAAAUGGAUUCUCUCUCUGGGAAAAGAAUUAAUUGUGAUAUUGUCAUUUCUCACUUUUAAUGUAUGAGAUAUGCACCAAGAGCAAGAUGGAGAAGAGUCCUGAGCUAAUGUAUCGCUAUGCAAAAAUAGUGAAUGUAGGUAAUUAGAUAAGAAAGGAUUAAAUAUCAUCUUGAAGACUGAGAAUGGCUGUCCCAUCAAAAGACUUCUAGCUCCUACGCAGAUGAAGAGCUUUAAUUCUGGAGAAAUCUAGAUAGAUAGAGACUGUUGACACAGAUAGUCCUAGAGCUAACUAAAAAGUCACCAGAUUAGAUGUUUCUAUAUCAUUGGGGGCAUGAAUGGGAAUAUAUUAAGUGAUAAUUAGUAAUGGUAAUAGUGAUAAUGGCUAUUUCUAAUGGGUAUGCUCAGUCUGUGUGGG